RNAcentral lists this ribosomal RNA (460 nucleotides) under uncultured bacterium. Its description in RNAcentral is "partial 16S ribosomal RNA". It matches the Rfam family "Bacterial small subunit ribosomal RNA", at positions 338 to 795 of the family's 1533-position model. The record is from RNAcentral.
CCUACGGGUGGCCGCAGUGAGGAAUAUUGGUCAAUGGGCGUGAGUCUGAACGAGCCAAGUCGCGUGAAGGAUGAAUGUUCUAUGGGUUGUAAACUUCUUUUAUAAAGGCAUAAAGUGCGGCACGUGUGCCUUUUUGCAUGUACUUUAUGAAUAAGGAUCGGCUAACUCCGUGACAGCAGCCGCGGUAAUACGGAGGAUCCGAGCGUUCUCCGGAUUUAUUGGGUUUAAAGGGAGCGUAGAUGGGUUGUUAAGUCAGUUGGGAAAGUUUGCGGCUCAACCGUAAAAUUGCCAUUGAUACUGGCAGGCUUGAGUACAGUUGAGGUAGGCGGAAUUCGUGGUGUAGCGGUGAAAUGCUUAGAUAUCACGAAGAACCCCGAUUGCGAAGGCAGCUUACUAAACUGUGACUGACAUUGAUGCACGAAAGUGUGGGUAGCAAACAGGAUUAGAUACCCUGGUAGUC